RNAcentral lists this ribosomal RNA (252 nucleotides) under uncultured bacterium. Its description in RNAcentral is "partial 16S ribosomal RNA". It matches the Rfam family "Bacterial small subunit ribosomal RNA", at positions 524 to 776 of the family's 1533-position model. The record is from RNAcentral.
UACGUAGGUCCCGAGCGUUGUCCGGAUUUAUUGGGCGUAAAGCGAGCGCAGGUGGUUUAUUAAGUCUGGUGUAAAAGGCAGUGGCUCAACCAUUGUAUGCAUUGGAAACUGGUAGACUUGAGUGCAGGAGAGGAGAGUGGAAUUCCAUGUGUAGCGGUGAAAUGUGUAGAUAUAUGGAGGAACCCCGGUGGCGAAAGCGGCUCUCUGGCCUGUAACUGACACUGAGGCUCGAAAGCGUGGGGAGCAAACAGG